UACGUAGGGACCAAGCGUUGUUCGGAUUCAUUGGGCGUAAAGGGUGCGUAGGUGGCAUGGUAAGUCGGGUGUGAAAUCCCGGGGCUCAACCCCGGAACUGCACUCGAUACUGCCGUGCUCGAGUACUGGAGAGGAGACUGGAAUUUACGGUGUAGCAGUGAAAUGCGUAGAUAUCGUAAGGAAGACCGGUGGCGAAGGCUAGUCUCUGGACAGUUACUGACACUGAGGCACGAAGGCCAGGGGAGCAAACGGG
This 253-nucleotide ribosomal RNA is filed under the name uncultured bacterium. RNAcentral's name for it is "partial 16S ribosomal RNA". It matches the Rfam family "Bacterial small subunit ribosomal RNA", at positions 524 to 776 of the family's 1533-position model. The record is from RNAcentral.